UGGCUCAGAGGUUAAAGCAUCUGCCUGGAAUUCAGGAGACCCAGGUUCAAUCCCUGG
RNAcentral lists this transfer RNA (57 nucleotides) under Bos taurus (domestic cattle). It matches the Rfam family "tRNA", at positions 8 to 63 of the family's 71-position model. Rfam says of the family: Transfer RNA (tRNA) molecules are approximately 80 nucleotides in length. Their secondary structure includes four short double-helical elements and three loops (D, anti-codon, and T loops). Further hydrogen bonds mediate the characteristic L-shaped molecular structure. tRNAs have two regions of fundamental functional importance: the anti-codon, which is responsible for specific mRNA codon recognition, and the 3' end, to which the tRNAs corresponding amino acid is attached (by aminoacyl-tRNA synthetases). tRNAs cope with the degeneracy of the genetic code in two manners: having more than one tRNA (with a specific anti-codon) for a particular amino acid; and 'wobble' base-pairing, i.e. permitting non-standard base-pairing at the 3rd anti-codon position. The record is from Rfam by way of RNAcentral. Lineage: Eukaryota; Metazoa; Chordata; Mammalia; Artiodactyla; Bovidae. RNAcentral also lists the same sequence under 5 other names.